ACAAGGAUUCUUCACUAACCUGACAUAGUCAAUGAUGUCAUAAUAAGUUUAUGAAUAUUUGGCAGUGUGAUGCCCAAAGAAAAAUCUUCUCAAUUUUGGACUGGCUAUUCUGCUAGCUAUUCCGUUCUUGGCUCUGUAUCACAUGAUCUGAAUAUAUUGGACACGAUGAACAUCCAGUCGAUGCCUGGUGAUAUAUCCUUCAACCACCUACAGCUGGGCGUCUCACCAAAGAACUGAUUAUCGUUCAUCAAAUUCAAGGCCAAGACACAACCCGAACAGUCCUCGCAGCAAAGCAAUCAUACAUAUUUUAAACCUAAGGGUGGAGAGAUUGUAAUAUUAUGAAAGAUGCAUGCAUAGAACAUCAGAACUCAUAUAUUAU
This 379-nucleotide long non-coding RNA is filed under the name Hordeum vulgare. RNAcentral's name for it is "long non-coding RNA (HVUL_LNC016130)". The record is from RNAcentral. Lineage: Eukaryota; Viridiplantae; Streptophyta; Magnoliopsida; Poales; Poaceae.